Molecule: ribosomal RNA, 305 nt
Filed under: uncultured bacterium
Lineage: Bacteria
Description: bacterial SSU rRNA
Rfam family: Bacterial small subunit ribosomal RNA
Source: RNAcentral
UAGAUCCUACGGGACGCAGCAGUGAGGAAUAUUGGUCAAUGGCCGAGAGGCUGAACCAGCCACGUCGCGUGAGGGAUGACGGCCCUACGGGUUGUAAACCUCUUUUGUCGGGGAGCAAGACCCGCCACGAGUGGCGGAGCGAGAGUACCUGAAGAAAAAGCAUCGGCUAACUCCGUGCCAGCAGCCGCGGUAAUACGGAGGAUGCGAGCGUUAUCCGGAUUUAUUGGGUUUAAAGGGUGCGUAGGCGGAAUGCCAAGGCAGCGGUAAAAUCGCGGGGCUCAACCUCGCUCCGCCGUUGAAACUGG